RNAcentral lists this ribosomal RNA (480 nucleotides) under uncultured bacterium. RNAcentral's name for it is "bacterial SSU rRNA". It matches the Rfam family "Bacterial small subunit ribosomal RNA", at positions 28 to 507 of the family's 1533-position model. The record is from RNAcentral.
GAUGAACGCUGGCGGCGUGCUUAACACAUGCAAGUCGAACGAAGCACUUUACUUGAUCUUUUCGGAGUGAUUGUUUUGUGACUGAGUGGCGGACGGGUGAGUAACGCGUGGGUAACCUGCCCCAGACCGGGGGAUAACAGUCGGAAACGACUGCUAAUACCGCAUAAGCGCACAGUGCCGCAUGGCACGGUGUGAAAAACUCCGGUGGUCUGGGAUGGACCCGCGUCCGAUUAGUUAGUUGGCGGGGUAACGGCCCACCAAGACCGCGAUCGGUAGCCGACCUGAGAGGGUGAACCGGCCACAUUGGGACUGAGACACGGCCCAGACUCCUACGGGAGGCAGCAGUGGGGAAUAUUGCACAAUGGAGGAAACUCUGAUGCAGCGACGCCGCGUGAGCGAAGAAGUAUUUCGGUAUGUAAAGCUCUGUCAGCAGGGAAGAUAAUGACGGUACCUGACCAAGAAGCCCCGGNUAACUACGUG